RNAcentral lists this ribosomal RNA (440 nucleotides) under Capnocytophaga sputigena. RNAcentral's name for it is "bacterial SSU rRNA". It matches the Rfam family "Bacterial small subunit ribosomal RNA", at positions 28 to 474 of the family's 1533-position model. The record is from RNAcentral. Lineage: Bacteria; Pseudomonadati; Bacteroidota; Flavobacteriia; Flavobacteriales; Flavobacteriaceae.
GAUGAACGCUAGCGGCAGGCCUAACACAUGCAAGUCGAGGGAGAAGCCUUCGGGCUGAAACCGGCGCACGGGUGCGUAACGCGUAUACAAUCUACCUUUCACAUAGGGAUAGCCCGAAGAAAUUUGGAUUAAUACCUAAUGGUAUAUAGGAGCGGCAUCGUUUUUAUAUUAAAGCUACGGUGGUGAAAGAUGAGUAUGCGUUCUAUUAGCUAGUGGAGAGGUAACGGCUCCCCAAGGCGACGAUAGAUAGGGGUUCUGAGAGGGAUGUCCCCCACACUGGUACUGAGAUACGGACCAGACUCCUACGGGAGGCAGCAGUGAGGAAUAUUGGACAAUGGUCGGAAGACUGAUCCAGCCAUGCCGCGUGCAGGAUGAAGGUCCUAUGGAUUGUAAACUGCUUUUGUAAGGGAAGAAUAAGGAGUACGUGUACUUUGAUGACG